AUGCAGACCAGAGCUAUCUUCGCUUCCCAGCCUCAUCCCAAAUCCCUAGCCGCCGCCAGCAGGGGCGCCCCAAAUCCCUCGUCGUUGCCAGCCGGCUGCCCAUCAAAUCCCUCCUCGCCGGAUGCGCCGCAAAUCUCUCACCGCCGGAUGCACCUCCUCCAGCCUCUCGCCCGCUCCCUCCACCAUAUUCGCUGGGUGUCGACCAAGAACGGUCGCCUACAAAUGUUGUCGUCAACCUUCUCACUACCUCCGGAGGAUGGUCGCCGUCAAUGUACCCGCCGCUGCCGUCACUUGACCGCCACCGCAUCCUUAUCCAGGAUUCAGCAGAAACUACAAGCAUUUUGGCAUCCCUCAUGUGCUGGGUACUGGUGGAAGCAAUGGCUCUACACACAUUUGUUUUGA
This 402-nucleotide ribosomal RNA is filed under the name Triticum aestivum (bread wheat). RNAcentral describes it as "partial small subunit ribosomal RNA". The record is from RNAcentral. Lineage: Eukaryota; Viridiplantae; Streptophyta; Magnoliopsida; Poales; Poaceae.